This 253-nucleotide ribosomal RNA is filed under the name uncultured bacterium. RNAcentral's name for it is "partial 16S ribosomal RNA". It matches the Rfam family "Bacterial small subunit ribosomal RNA", at positions 524 to 776 of the family's 1533-position model. The record is from RNAcentral.
UACGGAGGGGGCUAGCGUUACCCGGAAUUAUUGGGCGUAAAGCGCCCGUAGGCGGAUCGUUAAGUCGGGUGUGAAAGGGCAGGGCUCAACCCUGGAAUUGCAGUCGAUACCGGUGAGCUAGAGCGCGGUAGAGGUGAGUGGAAUUCCGAGUGUAGAGGUGAAAUGCGUAGAGAUUCGGAAGAACACCGGUGGCGAAGGCGGCUUGCUGGACCGUUGCUGACGCUGAGGCGCGAAAGCUUGGGGAGCGAACGGG